UUGCAGUUAAAAAGCUCGUAGUUGGAUUUCUGCGGGGGCGGGGCGGCCGGUUGCUUAUAGCAACUCGAGCUAGCACUUCCCCCGCAUCCUGCCGCGAACCGUGCUACCAUUAGUUUGGUGGCGCUGGGGAUCGGCUCGUUUACUUUGAGAAAAAUAGAGUGUUCAAAGCAGGCCACACGCCUUGAAUAAGUUAGCAUGGAAUAAUGAUAAAGGACUUCGGUUCUAUUUUGUUGGUGUUCGGGACUGAAGUAAUGAUUGAUAGGGACAGUUGGGGCGGUCAGUAUUCCAAAGCGAGAGGUGAAAUUCUUAGACCUUCGGAAGACUAACAGCUGCGAAAGCGUUCCGCAAGGAUGUUCCCUUUGAUCAAGAACGAAAGUUGGGGGAUCGAAGACGAUCAGAUACCGUCGUAGUCUCAACUAUAAACUAUACCAGCUAGGGAUCGGCCAACGUUUAAUAUAAUCGACUUGGUCGGCACCUUAUGAGAAAUCAAAGCAUCUGGGUUCCGGGGGGGGUAUGGUCGCAAGGCUGAAACUUAAGGAAUUGACGGAAGGGCACCACCAGCCGUGGAAGCCUGUGGCUU
Molecule: ribosomal RNA, 580 nt
Filed under: uncultured marine eukaryote
Lineage: Eukaryota
Description: bacterial SSU rRNA
Rfam family: Eukaryotic small subunit ribosomal RNA
Source: RNAcentral